Molecule: ribosomal RNA, 874 nt
Filed under: Calditrichota bacterium
Lineage: Bacteria; Pseudomonadati; Calditrichota
Description: bacterial LSU rRNA
Rfam family: Bacterial large subunit ribosomal RNA
Source: RNAcentral
UUUGGUCAAGAUAUUAAGGGCACAUGGUGGAUGCCUAGGCACGGUAGAGCGACGAAGGACGUGUCAAGCUGCGAUAAGCCACGGGGAGGUGCAAGUAACCCUGGAUCCGUGGAUUUCCGAAUGGGGCAACCCGGCGCUGGUAAUGCGGCGUCAUCCCUUUAAGGGAGGCCAACCCAGGGAAGUGAAACAUCUAAGUACCUGGAGGAAAAGAAAGAGGAAUCGAUUCCCCUAGUAGCGGCGAGCGAAGAGGGAAGAGCCUAAACCCGUUAGCAUGUAUGAAGGCCGUAACCGUUGUGCUGCGGGGGUAGUGGGGCCCUAACGGAGUGCGUUACGGAGCACUCGGAGAGUUACAAAACUUAUGUAUAGUCGAAUCGUUCUGGAAAGUCGAGCCAAAGUGGGUGAAAGCCCCGUAGACGAAAUACAUAGGUCUCUCUGGUUAGGGUACCCGAGUACCGCGGGGCACGUGAAACCCUGUGGGAAUCUAUGCCGACCACGGCAUAAGGCUAAAUAUGCUACCGUGACCGAUAGUGAACCAGUACCGUGAGGGAAAGGUGAAAAGCACCCCGGGAGGGGAGUGAAAUAGUACCUGAAACCGUGUGCCUACAACCAGUCGGAGCUCCGGCUUGCCGGAGUGACGGCGUGCCUUUUGCAUAAUGAGCCAGCGAGUUGUGGUAAGUAGCGCAGGUUAAGCUCUUCAGGAGCGGAGCCGUAGCGAAAGCGAGUCUGAAUAGGGCGCCAUAGUUACUUGCUGCAGACGCGAAGCCGGGUGAUCUACCCAUGGCCAGGAUGAAACCUCGGUAAGACGAGGUGGAGGUCCGAACCCACUGGUGUUGAAAAACCAGGGGAUGAGCUGUGGGUAGGGGUGAAAGGCCAA